This 443-nucleotide ribosomal RNA is filed under the name uncultured bacterium. RNAcentral's name for it is "partial 16S ribosomal RNA". It matches the Rfam family "Bacterial small subunit ribosomal RNA", at positions 338 to 795 of the family's 1533-position model. The record is from RNAcentral.
CCUACGGGUGACAGCAGUGGGGAAUAUUGGACAAUGGAGGGAACCCUGAUCCAGCGACGCCGCGUGAGUGAAGAAGUAUUUCGGUAUGUAAAGCUCUAUCAGCAGGGAAGAAAGAAACGACGGUACCUGACUAAGAAGCCUCGGCUAACUACGUGCCAGCAGCCGCGGUAAUACGUAGGGUGCAAGCGUUAUCCGGAUUUACUGGGUGUAAAGGGGGCGUAGGCGGUUACGUAAGUCUGGAGUGAAAGGCGGGGGCACAACCCCCGGACUGCCUCGGAAACUGUAUGACUGGAGUGCAGGAGAGGUAGGUGGAAUGUAUGGUGUAGCGGUGAAAUGCAUAGAGAUUAUACAGAACACCGAUUGCGAAGGCAGCUUACUGGACUGCGACUGACGUUGAGGCACGAAAGCGUGGGGAGCAAACAGGAUUAGAUACCCUAGUAGUC